ACACGAACAAACAAACAAACGGCGGAAAAAGCAAAGUCACCUAAUACGGCACACGCCGACAAUUCUGCUUAUCGCACUCACCUCGUGGACCACACAAGCAUGCUAUGGCAUCACAUGCUCUGAUGGGGUUCUUUUUCUUUGUGUUGUUCGCCUAUAUUUUGUGAGACCCUUCCCGAUCUCGGCUCGGAGAUAAUCGGAUAUAUCCGGAACGCUGUGAAACGCGAGGUACCAAAAAGAACGCGAACCACCAGUAGACCUGUCUCUAAAGGAGGUUUUGUUUUCGACACCAAAUUUAACCCUCACAAGACACCCCGCCAGUACGAUGACGCGCGCGCCUCUUCGUAUUCCUCGUAUAGCCGCUCCACACUGUUUAUGUCCCUCCACCCUGUGACUUCCUCUUGUGGAGUCACCUCGCAUCUUGUACGCAUUUCCAGGGCAGUCUUUCCUCUUCGGACAUGCCGAGAGCCGAACACCACUGUUAAGCGAUCGUCGAAGACGUCCAUGAUAACACUUUGACGAGGCGGGUGACGAUGUCUUGAGAAUCGAAACCACAGCGAGAUAAAAGUAUUUUGGCGAGGAAAAGAGCUGAUACAGUUGCCGCUCCAU
This 606-nucleotide unclassified non-coding RNA is filed under the name Yarrowia lipolytica. Lineage: Eukaryota; Fungi; Ascomycota; Dipodascomycetes; Dipodascales. The record is from RNAcentral.